Molecule: non-coding RNA, 68 nt
Organism: Sarcophilus harrisii (Tasmanian devil)
Lineage: Eukaryota; Metazoa; Chordata; Mammalia; Dasyuromorphia; Dasyuridae
Source: Rfam
AGAAAUAUGUCUGACAAAAGAAUUAUCUUGAUAGGAUAAAAAUAGGGGUGCAAGCCCCCUUAUUUCUA